This 352-nucleotide unclassified non-coding RNA is filed under the name soil metagenome. RNAcentral describes it as "partial contains 5.8S ribosomal RNA, internal transcribed spacer 2, and large subunit ribosomal RNA". The stretch from base 1 to 120 matches the Rfam family "5.8S ribosomal RNA", at positions 35 to 154 of the family's 154-position model. The record is from RNAcentral.
GAUGAAGAACGUAGCGAAAUGCGAUAAGUAAUGUGAAUUGCAGAAUUCAGUGAAUCAUCGAAUCUUUGAACGCACAUUGCGCCCGCCAGUAUUCUGGCGGGCAUGCCUGCUCGAGCGUCAUUACAACCCUCAGGCCCCCGGGCCUGGCGUUGGGGAUCGGCGGAGCCCCCCGUGGGCACACGCCGUCCCCCAAAUACAGUGGCGGUCCCGCCGCAGCUUCCAUCGCGUAGUAGCUAACACCUCGCGACUGGAGAGCGGCGCGGCCACGCCGUAAAACACCCAACUCUUCUGAAGUUGACCUCGAAUCAGGUAGGAAUACCCGCUGAACUUAAGCAUAUCAAUAAGCGGAGGA